This 254-nucleotide ribosomal RNA is filed under the name uncultured bacterium. RNAcentral's name for it is "partial 16S ribosomal RNA". It matches the Rfam family "Bacterial small subunit ribosomal RNA", at positions 524 to 776 of the family's 1533-position model. The record is from RNAcentral.
UACGUAGGUGGCAAGCGUUGUCCGGAUUUACUGGGCGUAAAGAGCUCGUAGGCGGUCUGUCGCGUCGGUCGUGAAAACUUGGGGCUUAACCCUGAGCUUGCGGUCGAUACGGGCAUGACUGGAGUUCGGCAGGGGAGACUGGAAUUCCUGGUGUAGCGGUGAAAUGCGUAGAGAUCGGAAAGAACACCAACGGCGAAAGCACUCUGCUGGGCCGACACUGACACUGAGAGACGAAAGCUAGGGGAGCGAAUGGG